UGGACUCUCAUCCUACAAUCCAGCCCCUCAACAGAUACAUCCCAGCUUCUGACUGUGAGCCAUCCAGCUACAAUGGGGAGGCCUAGAUGCUAGCCCCACAUGAGAGAGGGAAGGAUUUCAGGCCCAAGGCCCAAGUGGGGCAGGAAGAAGCACACGCUCACCUCAGUUGCCAUCUUUGCUGAGGAUGAGUUGCAAGACAGCUGGUUCAUUACAUCAGCCAUGGCAUUAUUGACCUUUUCCCUUUCUUCUGAUUAGCCUCCGAUCUCUGAUACAUUCUUUGUGACCUUGUAGGAAGAGAUGGAAUCUGUGCAUUAGCCCUCUCAUGCUACGGAGCCACGAGAAGGUUUGACAGCAGAAGUAGAUGCAGUGUGGACGAAUCUACGAGGGACUAACAGGUUCAUGCCAUAUAGCAGGCCUGCACAAC
Malaclemys terrapin pileata is the source of this 424-nucleotide long non-coding RNA. RefSeq lists it as uncharacterized. The record is from RefSeq and is a predicted model, not a curated record. The transcript has 3 exons. Lineage: Eukaryota; Metazoa; Chordata; Testudines; Emydidae.